Molecule: ribosomal RNA, 813 nt
Filed under: Panulirus longipes longipes
Lineage: Eukaryota; Metazoa; Arthropoda; Malacostraca; Decapoda; Palinuridae
Description: partial 16S rRNA
Source: RNAcentral
AAUAUAAAUAUGUUUGUGUGGUUAUCUUUUGGUCAAUAAAAUGUAUCUAAGAAAAAUAGUUUUAAAUGAAGUUGGCUUUAGUAUACAAGAAAAAGCUUUUCUGGACUUAAGUAUAAAAGUACCGUUAGGGAAAUUUGAAAUAAAUAUGAAAAUUUAAUUGGUUUAAAGGAGAGGUAAAAAUUCGUACCUUUUGUAUCAGGGAGAAUCAAAAUGUAACAUUUACAGUGGACUUCCCGAAAAAAGAAUAGCUAAUAGCUUAUAGUUGUCCUGGUGGGAAACAGGUUUAGAAUAGGUUUAUUAGUGGUGAAAUGCCAGUCGAGUCUUUUGAUAUCUGGUUGUUCUGGAAAUAAAUUUAAUUUAGACUAAACUGCUCAUAAAAAUAAGUUUGGCUUUAGAACCGGAGGGAAAAGCUUCUGGUUAAAUUAGUUAUGUAAGAAAAAUUAUUUGAAAAGAGAAUAUCCUAACUAAGCCUAGAAGUAGCUAUGUUGAUAAAGUGUCUUAACUAAGAUGGAUUCCUGUGAGAAAAUAUUUUUAUGAUCUUCAUAAGAGAUACAGAACUUUAAUUUAGAAUUUAACAACUCUAGUAGCAAUGAUUUUAUUAGUAUAAUAGUUUUCUGUGUGUUAAAUUAAAGUAAAUUUAGAAUAAUGAAUAUUGUUUGUUUUGUAAAGAAAAGUUAUAGUAAAGGAACUCGGCAAAAAAGAUUUCUGCCUGUUUAUCAAAAACAUGUCUUUAUGAAUUUUAUGUAAAGUCUAGCCUGCCCAGUGAUAUUGAAGUUUAACGGCCGCGGUAGCAUGACCGUGCUAAGGUAGCAU